GCGGCGGACGGGUGAGUAAUGUCUGGGGAUCUGCCUGAUGGAGGGGGAUAACUACUGGAAACGGUAGCUAAUACCGCAUGACGUCGCAAGACCAAAGUGGGGGACCUUCGGGCCUCACGCCAUCGGAUGAACCCAGAUGGGAUUAGCUGGUAGGUGGGGUAACGGCUCACCUAGGCGACGAUCCCUAGCUGGUCUGAGAGGAUGACCAGCCACACUGGAACUGAGACACGGUCCAGACUCCUACGGGAGGCAGCAGUGGGGAAUAUUGCACAAUGGGGGAAACCCUGAUGCAGCCAUGCCGCGUGUGUGAAGAAGGCCUUC
RNAcentral lists this ribosomal RNA (321 nucleotides) under Dickeya dianthicola. RNAcentral's name for it is "bacterial SSU rRNA". It matches the Rfam family "Bacterial small subunit ribosomal RNA", at positions 95 to 419 of the family's 1533-position model. Lineage: Bacteria; Pseudomonadati; Pseudomonadota; Gammaproteobacteria; Enterobacterales; Pectobacteriaceae. The record is from RNAcentral.